This 65-nucleotide transfer RNA is filed under the name Marmota monax (woodchuck). Its description in RNAcentral is "tRNA.SeC". Lineage: Eukaryota; Metazoa; Chordata; Mammalia; Rodentia; Sciuridae. The record is from RNAcentral.
GGUUGUGGCUCAGUGGUAGAGUGCUUGCCUUCAGUGUGAGGCACUGGGUUUGAUUCUCAGCACCA